Molecule: long non-coding RNA, 2288 nt
Organism: Herpailurus yagouaroundi (jaguarundi)
Lineage: Eukaryota; Metazoa; Chordata; Mammalia; Carnivora; Felidae
Exons: 3
Source: RefSeq, a predicted model, not a curated record
UUACAUGGUGCCCGCAUGUUUCACUUGACCAGUGGCUAGUGGCAGCACAGGCCUCAUCAUGGCCAUGUCAAGGGUCACUCUUAUUUAAGAGAAGGAUGAAGUGGUACAAGGUCAGGAACCCCCUUUCAUGGCAAUCAAUCACUGAGUCACAGAAGGGUUCAGACAGAUGGGAAACCAACAAGACCACCCCCUGAAGCAGGAAGAGAGGUUGGUCAGACACACACUGCCCCAUGGAAGAGACCCACAGGAAACACUGAUGGACUGAAUUAUGUACCCAUUAUGGCUCUGAAUGAGACAGCUGUGGAGCGAACCUGUGGAUUAAUGUGCCUACUUAAUUGCAGUUGUAACAAAUCAUUGAUCAAAUUUGUGGAACUAGCUGAUCCCUUUUUGCUCCUUCUUCUAGUAUGCUCUCCACAAGAGUGACAAGGUAAGGGGCUCCUGAUCCACAUAUGAAUACAAGGGAAGCCCCAUCCCCUGGAAUGAAGAAAACUGAGGGCCUCUUUCUCCUAUUCUGUGGGUCUUCUAAAAUAUCCAAGAUGCAUUAAGGAUUGGAAAGGUGCCCUCUUUUUAGAAACUUCAGCCAAAGAGCACAGAGCAAAGCAGAUGUCUAUGCCCACUUUCUUGGAAGGAAAGCCUUGAAACACACUUCACAAGACUCUUCCAUCAUCUCUCAUUUAGAAAGCCUGUGUCCCCAAUGCUGUAUCUUUGCCCCCUCUACCUGGAAUGCUCUCCUGUUGCCACCACAUUUCUGCUUGUAGACAUUUAACCCAUCCUUCACAGCCUGAUAAAAAAGGCAUCUGCUCAAAGGAGUAGUCUCAGAUCUACAUGGUCAGAAUCACACUCUGUCCCCACCGGCCCCGUAAUCAGGUGCUUAUGCUGUUCAUAGAUGGGUUGUUCAUACAUCCCAGUUUUCUUGGGACCGUCCUGCUUUAUGCCUGUCAUGCCAGGAUUCAUUAAUAGCAUCUUUUCACCUUCAAAACUGUCUCAAUUGAACAUUAGACGGUAUGGUGUGGUGGACACACCCUCUGGUGACCCCCAUUGGGUCAUAUCUUUUUCUGACCCCUUCCCUUGAAUGCAGGAAGAACUGGUGAAUUGCUUCUGGCCAAUAGAAUGUGGCCAAGGUGACAAGAUAGCCAUCCUUUGGUUGUGUCACUUUUUAUAAGAUUCUGUCUUCGUGACUAAAGAGAGUGGGUCCCCUGCAGGCCUUGAAGAAACGAGCUGCUAUGAUGUGAACUGCCUGAGGGAAGGGCCUUAGGAACUGUGGGCAGGAACCAUGGGCAGCCUCUACCUGCUGAAGGCCUUGGUCUUCUGGAUGUAAGGAACUGAAUUCUGCCAGCAGUCACAUGGCCAGAGGAGGACCCCAAGCUCCAGCGAGGAAAAUUGUGACUCCUCAAUGACGGUCUCUGAGCCCUGAGCAGAGGACCCACGUGAGCUGUGCCUGGACUCCUGACCCACAGGCACUGUGAGGUAUCUGAAAUGCCUGCCCAUUCCUCCAUGCCCAAAAGAGUGUAGAACUCAGAAGUUCUUCAUGGAUGCCUUCCAGAUAUGCUACUUGAAACCACUGAUGGGAAGACCGAGACUUGAGAGGCAAAAGUGCUUGCCCCAGGUCUCCCAGCUGGUAAGUACAGAUCCCCAAAGUUUUUCGCCCUAUUCCAAACUGCCUCUUCUCCCCUUGGGAUCCAGCCCUUUGCAAGACACCAGUGACUGGUAAUGUCUAGCGGAAAUCAUGCAGGAUUCAGUGACCAAGCCCUUGAAACUUGGGAAAGUCCUCAGAAAUUUUUUGCAUCUUGGCAUCCAAACUGGCAAAAAGGAAAGAAAUCGAUUUGACCUUAGAGGUUUGGAUUUUGUAAGGCGUAACUGUGAGAACAAUUACUUAAUUGUAAUAGUUAACAAUGGUAAUUGUUGAGGAGUAUAGGCUCAAAACAAAUUAGUUCCUUAAUGAGGCAUUUGUUAGCUUGUUCUGAGAUGACAUAAUGCCUUAACUCUAAUGAAGAUGCAGAAAAAAGGAUUUUAAAAACAGUGCUUAAUGUAUAACUCGGUGUUCUACCUCUUCUUCCGUGUGACGUGUGGGUAUACUCUCUCUGUCCCCAUCCUGAGCUCCAGCCUGUGCCUGAAGGCAGAAACCAGAAGUGUGUCCUUGUCUCCCAUCCUGAAAACAGGAUAGUUUGGUACAUUUGGAAGUGCUCUGUGUGCUAGGAGAGCACUUCCAAAAGCAAGUCUCUAAUGCAGAGUGGAGUUUACCUCCCAAACGAUUCCAGUGAGUAAGCCUUGUUGAUGCUUGACUACUG